Molecule: long non-coding RNA, 2523 nt
Organism: Chrysemys picta bellii (western painted turtle)
Lineage: Eukaryota; Metazoa; Chordata; Testudines; Emydidae
Source: RefSeq, a predicted model, not a curated record
UGCUAUCUGUUGAUUUGUCAAAUAGAAUAUCCCUUUGUUUAAAUGUUAGCUGGAGUUGUGUUAUUGCUCUGGGAGACAAUAAUCCAGAGGGGAAUUAAUUUUACAAAGAGGACUUCAGUCUCGUUAAAGGGACAUUGGUUGGAUGAGUCACCUGCCUAAUACCACCCCAGAUCUGCAAACCGAGGCAGAAAUGAUCAAUGACUUGCCCAAGGUCACAGAAGGUCAGUAUCAAGAUAAGAAGUUGGAAGCAGGACUGCUAGCUGGAGACUUUGCAGACUGAUAAACACAAGCCUUUGAAGCAAAGUGAAAGAUUCGGGGCUGGAAUAGCUCCCCACACUUCACAGCAAGGAAUGCCCAGGAGCACCAUGAUCAUCUCUUCUGUGUCCCUGAAUAUCAUUUCCCUCAGCAACACAGGGCAGCAACAUCUGAAUGGUGUGUGUGAUGGCUUACUCCAUUAUCCUGCAAAGAGAGCCCAAUGAAAGGCAUUGGAGAGGUGAACAGGGGUCCAGGUGCAUGACGGAUGUAUCACUGCUCCCGACCAACUGAGCUCCGUCAGCCACCAGUGGCUGUGCUCCUGAUGUACAUCUGCAAUGCCCUUCUGACCGUGCGCAGGAGGGGAAAUUUGGCUACAAUACCAGGCAAGACCAAACUCUUCUGAAGAGUUCCGUCGCAUCUACACACAAAACAGGCAGGAUUUCAGUUGUCUCUCAAUCCAAAGCCCACCGACGUUAAAGGGGGUCUGUCUGUUCGUUCGCUCCGAUGAACUUUGGAUCAGGCUUUUGCUCAGAUCUCACUUGAAAGGCUCCCACACAGUGAAUCACAGGAAACUCAAUUGAUUUAUCUUGGAAGGAUGAAGAGCCGUGUCCGUCUGCUUGGCUUGGAACUUGUGGAUUCAGAGAGUCUGUGUAGUUCGAUGACCACCAAGCUGCCCCCUUCGGCGCUAGGAUGAAUGCAACGUGGACUUUCAGUGAGGUACAGUUCAGAGGUAUGAAGAGUGCUGCAACCUUGCCAGGACUCCAGCUAUUUUUCAUUCUCUCCAGUGGGACUUUUCUGUGGUAGCUUCCCAUUGAGAGAGACCUGUGAAAACCAGAACAGGGCUGGAAAAGAAGGAACAAGGCUCUGGCUUAUGUAACUUGGAGCAAUGAAGUUGUAGGAUCUGCCAAGGUGCAGCAAAAGCUCUUUCCAGUCCUUUCUCCCCACUGUGUCACCACAGCUCCACUUUGGUGUGGGGUGGGGUGCACGCGUCCUGCCUCCCAGCUAGCCUCCUUCUUUCAUACCUAGCGGCCUUCUUUGCACCUCCCUGCUGUGCCAGUCAAAGAUCCUGCCACAGGUGGCAUGUUUCUCAGCCUGUUUUAGUUUCUGAAACAAGCAGCAACGGGGAAUCCAAAAAUUCUGUGAAAGAGCUUGAUUUCCCAGAAGGAUUGCUGCCUCCAUUUCCCAAAGGGGCUGGAAUGAGAGAGGCCUCUGGGUUCAGACCAGGAACCUUCUUGUAAAAACAAGAAAAUAAAACAAAACAAAAAAACUUUAAAAAAAUCAAUGGGUGGAAACCUGAACUUUAAAUUAACAGCACUGAAUUAUGUAUGUUUUUAGCUCUGCGUGUAGAAGACCCAAGCAAGUUGUUUAAUCCUGCAGCUGAAGCGUGGAAAUGACAGACACACAAUUUUGCUUUUAUUUUUUCCUUAAGCUGGAUGAGUAGCACAUGGUAACGAAGUCGGAAUGCAGACAGCGCUGCCAUUCUGCAUUAAAGUAGCGCCUCUGAACUCCACAUGAGUUAUGGGCAGGCCUUCAGAGGACUACUGGAUUUUGCAGUUUAUCAAGUAUGGGUGGGAGGGGAGGGGAAGCCUCAGCUGAGUAGUGGUGGAAAAAGAAUGAAAAGCCAGCCACCUUGAGUCUGUCUCUAAAUGCAUGACCGUGGAGUCCAGAAGCCACAUGGGUAUAAAUCUCUUCUAUAAAGAGGUAGAUAUGUCUCAGCUGGAGGAAACUUAGCAGUAAAGCAAUGAGUGUUGAGCAGAAUCAGGUUUAUUAUGGGGAAUUAUACCUUUCCAGUAAUCCAAAGCACCAAAUUAUAAAAGACCUCUUCUACCCCCCUCAAAAGCAUGAAGGUUAAAACAGUACGAAAACCUCAGCCCUCUCCCCAUCUGUCCAGGUAACCUACCUCAGGUUUCUGUUUCCCCCCUGGCUUUCUCAGGUUAUGAUCUGAAAAGGGCCUAUAAGGUGAAGAGGAGGAGUAUUGCCAUCAGGUGAGAUUUACAGCAUUACCCAGUAAAACCUGCACUACUUGAGCAAAAUGAAAGAAUGCUUUUUCCAGCCAGGCACACUGGCUAAAUUGCGGUUUCAGUAAAUUAAGCAGAAUGCUGAUGAAAAAUUUAAUGUGGUAGUAAUCUGGCUAUUCUGACAGUCAGCAAAGUCUACAAUGACCCUUGAAAAAUUCUUCCGUUUUGAUAUCCUUGUAUGGCACUGCAAUAUGGUCACAUCUGCUACACUGUAUGCUCUGCACUACAUAUUGAUGAUUACAAUAAAAUG